CAAAAACCAUACUGAUAUUUAUCCCAAGGUGUAUAAACAAACAGAAGAAAACUAGAAGGGUUUUUAGGAUUCAUAUUUCCUUAAUCUGUGUUGCUUUCUCUUGAGAACAAGAGCUUAGAACAUGAAUAGGAUUCUUGAAAAGAUCAUCAGGAAAA
Populus euphratica (Euphrates poplar) is the source of this 155-nucleotide long non-coding RNA. RefSeq lists it as uncharacterized. The transcript is spliced from 2 exons. Lineage: Eukaryota; Viridiplantae; Streptophyta; Magnoliopsida; Malpighiales; Salicaceae. The record is from RefSeq and is a predicted model, not a curated record.